This 1578-nucleotide long non-coding RNA is filed under the name Zonotrichia albicollis (white-throated sparrow). RNAcentral's name for it is "lncRNA (ENSZALG00000001198.1)". Lineage: Eukaryota; Metazoa; Chordata; Aves; Passeriformes; Passerellidae. The record is from RNAcentral.
CGGCCCAAAAACAACGAGAAUUUGCACAAGAUAUACUAGAAAAAAUUCCCCUAAAAAUCCUGGGAAAUCGCCCCAAAAUAUCCAGAGAAAUUGCCCCAAAAAUACCAGGAAAUUGCACCAGAAAUAUCUGGGGAAAUUGCCCCAAAAAUAACGGGAAAUUGCACCAGAAAUACAGGGGAAAAUGACACCAGAAAUCCUGGGAAAUUACCCAGAAAUAUCCUGGGAAAUUACCCCAAAAUCCUGGGAAAAAUCACAUUAAAUAUCCUGGGAAAUUGCCCCAAAAUAUCCUGGGAAAUUGGCCCAAAAAUAACGGGAAAUUGCACCAGAAAUACUGUGAAAAAUUCCCUAAAAAAUCCUGGGAAAUCGCCCCAAAAUAUCCAGGGAAAUUGUCCCAAAAAUAACGGGAAAUGACACCAGAAAUCCUGAGAAAUUACCCAGAAAUAUCCUGGGAAAUUACCGCAAAAUCCUGGGAAAAAUCACAUGAAAAUAUCCUGGGAAAUUGGCCCAAAAUAUCCUGGGAAAUCGGCCCAAAAAUAAUGGGAAAUUGCACCAGAAAUACUGGGAAAUUGCCCCAAAAAUAACGGGAAAUUGCACUAGAAAUACAGGGGGAAAUUACCCCAAAAAUACCAGGAAAAUCACCCCAAAAUAUCCUGGGAAAUUGCCCCAAAAUAUCCUGGGAAAUCGGCCCAAAAAUAACGGGAAAUUGCACAAGAUAUACUGGGAAAAAUUCCCCUAAAAAAUCCUGGGAAAUCACCCCAAAAAUACCAGGGAAAUUGUCCCAAAAAUAACGGGAAAUGACAUCAGAAAUCCUGGUAAAUUACCCAGAAAUAUCCUGGGAAAUUACCCCAAAAUCCUGGGAAAAAUCACAUGAAAAUAUCCUGGGAAAUUGCCCCAAAAUAUCCUGGGAAAUUGGCCCAAAAAUAGCUGGAAAUUGCACCAGAAAUACUGGGAAAAAUUCCCCUAAAACAUCCUGGGAAAUCACCCCAAAAAUGCCAGGAAAUUGCAACAGAAAUACUGGAAAAAAUUCCCCUAAAAAUCCUGGGAAAUUGCCCCAAAAAUACCAGGAAAUUGCACCAGAAAUACAGGGGAAAAUGACACCAGAAAUGCUGGGAAAUUACCCAGAAAUAUCCUGGGAAAUUGCCCCAAAAAUCCCGGGAAAAAUCACACAAAAAAUCCUGGGAAAUCACCCCCAAAAUAUCCCGAGAAAUCGCCCAAAAAAAUCCCAGGAAAUCACCCGGAAAAAUCCUGGGAAAUCCACCCAAAAUAUCCUGGGAAAUUGACCCAAAAAUACCAGGAAAAUCACCCCAAAAUAUCCUGAGAAAUUGCCCCAAAAUAUCCUGAGAAAUUGCCAAAAAAAUCCCAGGAAAUCACCCGAAAAAAUCCUGGGAAAUCACCCCAAAAUAUCCUGGGAAAUUACCCCAAAAUACCCUGAGAAAUUGCCCAAAAAUAUCCCAGGAAAUCACCCGAAAAAUCCUGGGAAAUCCACCCAAAAUAUCCUGGGAAAAAAUCCCCCAAAAUAAUUUCCCCACAAUCCCAGUUUUUCACCCCAAAAUCUCAUCCCCAACGGGCGAAUCGGAG